AUAUAUAUAUAUAUAUAUAUAUUGACAAAAUAUAUGAACACAUAUGCAAUAUAUAUAAUUGAAGGGGAAAUAUAAAUAUAGGGGGUUCAUGCAUCUUUGGGAAUGUUUUCAUGCUUCAAGGUCGUUUCAAAUAUCUUAAUUUAUUUUAAAAGAACUUGAUUGGCAUAAAACAACUGAGCCUUGAUUCGUAGAAAAUCCUUCUCGGAAAGCCGAAAUUGCAUCUCCAAUGCGUUGUAUCACGUUCAACACAAAAAAAUUAAAUUGAAUCCAUAGCAUGUAGAUCAAUUCAGUAAAAUAAUAAAUUAAUCGUAAAAAAAUGAUUAAAACGUAAUACUCCCCUGAUUGAAAAAUAAACUUUCUUUAGCGCAGCGUCAAGAGCGUGUUGAUAACGUUUGUAGGCAUAAUUUACUGAACAAUUAUGGAGGCCAGAGAGAGGGGGUGCAACACAUAGAGAGAGAAGAGAGAGAUGUGUAAUUGUGAGGUGUAUGUUGUAUCACCCCAUUGUGCCUUUAUUUGUAGUAGUAGGGAAGGUAAAUUUCUUACCCCAAUAUGAUUACAACUCUAAUAGGAUAAUUUCUAGUUUAAGAGAUAUGGUAGAAUCCCAUAAGGAUAUCCUAGAUAUGUUAGGAUUUACACAAUCACAUUCCUAAUCUAAUAGGACUGCAACACAUUCAUAUUUUUACUCAAAAAUGAAAAACUAAAUAAUAUCUGGAAGGAGAAAAAAGUUAUACACAAUUUUACAUGUUCCCACUUUUUUCAUGUUCAACUAUGUGUAUUAUUUGGUAACUUUCCUAAAAUUUUACUUUGACAAAUUCAGCAAUUUUCUUUAAGAUUUUAAUAUUCAAUAUUUUAAUUUUAUUUAUUUCAAAUAUGUAUAAAAUACAUAAAUUUUAGGGAAAUAGACAUAAAUAGGACAUUUUCUUAAUCUUAGAACAUAAAUAGGAUUUUUCGAAUAUGCACAUGACAUGCACAACAAUCGAACAGAAAUAGAAAUUUUCCUACACUAUGAAAUGACUUAAUUGCCCUUAUAUAUAAAUGAGUUAUUUCCUCCUUUUUUUUUAUUUCUCUCUACUCUAUCUAUCUCCUUCCCUCUCUCUCUUCUCUCACUUUAUCCUUCACGCACUCUCUCCCGUUCUCACUGUGUACACACGGUGCAUAGUUGUCCCAACCAACACCGUUCAAAACGAAGCCACCACCAAUUUCAUCUCGUCCUCACGAGUCCAAAACACCUAGCCUUGUCACAAAUCUCAUCCCUGAUCAUUGGGAUUGUAACUCUGGCAGGUCGCGAGUUUUUCGGCCAUUUUCCGGCAACACGGCAAGUAAUCGAGGCUUGAAACCACCACCACUGGACUCGCAUCAAGGGUGGGAACAAAGCCCAGUCAUUAACUAUUUGUGCACAAAUAGUGCUUGUUGGGAAGAAAGCCCAUUAUCUCUCUCUUUCUCUCUCUCUCUCUUUCUCUCCAUGAACAUCCUAGGCAAGAGAACACCACCAAAACAAGAAAACCCAUUUUUCAAUGACCAAAAAUAAGAAAACCCAUUUGUUGUUUGCUCUUUUCCUUCCCAUAUUUGCAGAUUGGUGGGAUUAAAGAAGUGAGCUUUUUCGUAUUUGGGGAAGGGGAAAAUAAACCCAAAAGCUAUAUGAAGUCAUAGCGAAACAAAAUUUAAUCAAUUUCUCCCUCUUCUAUAUCAUGAGAUUCUUUACCUUGUUUGGAUGUUAUGAUGGUGUUUGUGGAGCCAAAAAUAAUCAAGAAAAAUAUGGAGGCAACACGUGGAAUUUUAGGUAAAAAGACAAGAUUACCCUCGAUGCACAUCGUGGGAUUUCUACGGUCAAGCAGUGGACAAUCAUCCCUCAAUCAAGUCAAAAGUGCCCAAAAUAGGUAUUUAUUCAAAACCUAUUUCAUCCAUCCUCAUCAAAUAUUCUUCACAAGGUAACACCCAAAUCAUUCCUUUCUAAUUAUAUAAAUUAGCUAAUUAAUUGAUUUAUUACUCAAUUAAUUUGUUAAUUAGC
Molecule: long non-coding RNA, 2008 nt
Filed under: Malus domestica (apple)
Lineage: Eukaryota; Viridiplantae; Streptophyta; Magnoliopsida; Rosales; Rosaceae
Description: long non-coding RNA (MDOM_LNC002615)
Source: RNAcentral